This 734-nucleotide ribosomal RNA is filed under the name uncultured Streptococcus sp. RNAcentral describes it as "bacterial SSU rRNA". The stretch from base 6 to 524 matches the Rfam family "Bacterial small subunit ribosomal RNA", at positions 33 to 541 of the family's 1533-position model. The record is from RNAcentral. Lineage: Bacteria; Bacillati; Bacillota; Bacilli; Lactobacillales; Streptococcaceae.
AUUGAACGCUGGCGGCAUGCUUUACACAUGCAAGUCGAACGGCAGCGGGGUAGUGCUUGCACUACUGUCCGGCGAGUGGCGAACGGGUGAGUAAUAUAUCGGAACGUACCGAGUAAUGGGGGAUAACCAAUCGAAAGAUUGGCUAAUACCGCAUACGUCCUACGGGAGAAAGCGGGGGAUCGCAAGACCUCGCGUUAUUCGAGCGGCCGAUAACUGAUUAGCUAGUUGGUGGGGUAAAGGCCUACCAAGGCGACGAUCAGUAGCGGGUCUGAGAGGACGAUCCGCCACACUGGGACUGAGACACGGCCCAGACUCCUACGGGAGGCAGCAGUGGGGAAUUUUGGACAAUGGGGGCAACCCUGAUCCAGCCAUGCCUCGUGUAUGAAGAAGGCCUUCGGGUUGUAAAGUACUUUUGGUAGGGAAUAAAAGGGUAGUGCUAUGACCACUUUUUGCUGACUGUACCUAAAGAAAAAGCACCGGCUAACUACGUGCCAGCAGGCGCGGAAUACGUAGGGGUGAAGCGUGUAUCUGAAUUACGGGGCUAAAGUGUGCGUGACUAUUUUUAAUCUGUAUGUUAAUCCCUCGGGCUUAACCUGGAAAUUGUGUUGUGAUGGGUAGCUGUUGUGUUGAGAUGGGGUGUGAUAUAGUAGUUUGUGAUGUGAAUUGUGUGGUGGUGGUAUGUGUUGUGAUGUGGUUGUGUUUUCUGUGGGUGUGCUGUGGGUGUGUGUGUUGUG